RNAcentral lists this long non-coding RNA (609 nucleotides) under Salvia miltiorrhiza (redroot sage). RNAcentral's name for it is "long non-coding RNA (SMIL_LNC013646)". Lineage: Eukaryota; Viridiplantae; Streptophyta; Magnoliopsida; Lamiales; Lamiaceae. The record is from RNAcentral.
UUUGCGCGGGUUUGUUAACUGCAUAUGCAUACGAAACGUUUCUUUCUCUUCACUUGCUGCAAAUUUCGAAGCGAAGAAGAACAAGACUUCAGAGGGCGAAAAAGAACACUAAGACGAAGAUAAUCUCCUCCAUAGUGCCUUUUUUAUCGAUCAAAUCUCAAUUAAGGUAAGUAUUAAACCUUCACUUUUUUUGGAAAAAAAGUUAUUUUUUUUCUGAGCAUGCAAUGUUUGGACAAAAGCGAUAUGAACUUUCGUCUUUUGAUUUUUUUUUAAAAAAAAUUUUAGUAUUUUGUGUAGGAAUUAAUGAUUGUGUAAUCGUUUGUGUUUUCUUCUUUUAUUUGUUGCAGCAUGCCGUCGAGUGUGACUUUAAUUUUUAAUUUUUGGGGUAUAUAGAAGAAAGAAUCUGAAUCGGCAAAAAUGUUAUAUGAAGGUUAUAAUUUUGAGGAAAUUAUUGAUAGCAUAGAGAAUAUGACUUAUGAUGGUUGGAAGUGUGAAUGGCUCCUAAUUCAAUGAAGUUAUUUGAGGCUGCAAAAUCUGAUGCAAUGACUUGCAAUGUCAUCUGGAAUGGGGAAGAUGGAUAUGAGAUUGGGGAGUUUGAGCACUCAGUAC